UACGUAGGGGGCUAGCGUUGUUCGGAAUUACUGGGCGUAAAGCGCGUGUAGGUGGUUGUCCAAGUUGGAUGUGAAAGCCUUGAGCUCAACUCAAGAAAUGCAUUCAGGACUGGAUGGCUAGAGGACCGGAGAGGAUAGUGGAAUUCCCAGUGUAGUGGUGAAAUACGUAGAGAUUGGGAAGAACACCAGUGGCGAAGGCGGCUAUCUGGACGGUUUCUGACACUAAGACUCGAAAGCGUGGGGAGCAAACAGG
This 253-nucleotide ribosomal RNA is filed under the name uncultured bacterium. RNAcentral's name for it is "partial 16S ribosomal RNA". It matches the Rfam family "Bacterial small subunit ribosomal RNA", at positions 524 to 776 of the family's 1533-position model. The record is from RNAcentral.